CAAACCUCCAAAGAAACCAAGAGGGAGUAGAGAGAAACUGUGAUUUCGUCCACCCAAUUCUAUCCUGCAAUUGCAAAAUCUUUCUCCCUUCCAAAAAGGGGAAGGAAAACCUACCGUUGGAGUAGCAGCGUUGCAAACGGAAGAGCUGACCGCCCGAAGCGGCGGCGACGGAGACAGCGUGAUAACGGCGAUGACCGCAGCAGAGAAUGAGAGAGAGAAAGAGAUGGGAUCCGAUUGUUUUUUCCUUGUUACUGUGAGGGAGUGAAGAAGGAGAUAUGAGAGUUGGGAUUGUUUCUGCAUUGCGAAUUUUAGAAGAAUUUCAGAGAGAUAGAGUGAGAACAUAUUUGAGAGAGGUAGCUUUUGAUUUUGAGCGUCAAAAAUAGAGAGAGACAAAGAUGAGUUGGCUUUUGGGAAGUAGACUGUGUGCUGUGGGAGUAUAUACGAGUAUGGGGUUAGGCGCAUAGAUGUUAGGUUCUUUUAUUAAAUAUAGUUUUCUUUGUUUA
Long non-coding RNA from Salvia splendens (bonfire salvia), 503 nucleotides. RefSeq lists it as uncharacterized. NCBI's taxonomy places the organism in Eukaryota, Viridiplantae, Streptophyta, Magnoliopsida, Lamiales, Lamiaceae. The record is from RefSeq and is a predicted model, not a curated record. The transcript is spliced from 2 exons.